RNAcentral lists this ribosomal RNA (276 nucleotides) under Clostridioides difficile. RNAcentral's name for it is "partial 16S ribosomal RNA". It matches the Rfam family "Bacterial small subunit ribosomal RNA", at positions 1221 to 1496 of the family's 1533-position model. Lineage: Bacteria; Bacillati; Bacillota; Clostridia; Peptostreptococcales; Peptostreptococcaceae. The record is from RNAcentral.
CGUGCUACAAUGGGUAGUACAGAGGGUUGCCAAGCCGUAAGGUGGAGCUAAUCCCUUAAAGCUACUCUCAGUUCGGAUUGUAGGCUGAAACUCGCCUACAUGAAGCUGGAGUUACUAGUAAUCGCAGAUCAGAAUGCUGCGGUGAAUGCGUUCCCGGGUCUUGUACACACCGCCCGUCACCCCACGGGAGUUGGAGACGCCCGAAGCCGAUUAUCUAACCUUUUGGAAGAAGUCGUCGAAGGUGGAAUCAAUAACUGGGGUGAAGUCGUAACAAGG